This 495-nucleotide ribosomal RNA is filed under the name uncultured Comamonas sp. Its description in RNAcentral is "bacterial SSU rRNA". It matches the Rfam family "Bacterial small subunit ribosomal RNA", at positions 15 to 507 of the family's 1533-position model. The record is from RNAcentral. Lineage: Bacteria; Pseudomonadati; Pseudomonadota; Betaproteobacteria; Burkholderiales; Comamonadaceae.
UUCCUAGGCUCAGAUUGAACGACUGGCGGCAUGCCUUACACAUGCAAGUCGAACGGUAACAGGUCUUCGGAUGCUGACGAGUGGCAACGGGUGAGUAAUACAUCGGAACGUGCCUAGUAGUGGGGGAUAACUACUCGAAAGAGUAGCUAAUACCGCAUGAGAUCUACGGAUGAAAGCAGGGGAUCGCAAGACCUUGUGCUACUAGAGCGGCUGAUGGCAGAUUAGGUAGUUGGUGGGAUAAAAGCUUACCAAGCCGACGAUCUGUAGCUGGUCUGAGAGGACGAUCAGCCACACUGGGACUGAGACACGGCCCAGACUUCUACGGGAGGCAGCAGUGGGGAAUUUUGGACAAUGGGCGAAAGCCUGAUCCAGCAAUGCCGCGUGCAGGAUGAAGGCCUUCGGGUUGUAAACUGCUUUUGUACGGAACGAAAAGCUUUGGGUUAAUACCCUGGAGUCAUGACGGUACCGUAAGAAUAAGCACCGGCUAACUACGUG